CGGUUAAAAAGCUCGUAGUUGGAUUUCUGUUGAAGUCAGCCGGUGCACACUUCGUGCGUUAUUUGGCCUGGCUUUGGCAUCCUCUGGGGGAACGUUUCUGGCCUUAAUUGGACAGGGCGAGAUUCCAGACUUUUACUUUGAGGAAAUUAGAGUGUUCACAGCAGGCAAGUGCUUUGAAUACAUUAGCAUGGAAUAAUAAUAUAGGACCUUCGUUCUAUUUUGUUGGUUUCUAGGACUUAGGUAAUGAUUAAUAGGGACAAUUGGGGGCAUUCGUAUUAACGCGUCAGAGGUGGAAUUCUUGGAUUGCGUUACGACGAACUACUGCGAAAGCAUUUGCCAAAGAUGUUUUCAUUGAUCAAGAACGAAAGUAUGGGGAUCGAAGACGCUUAGAUACCGUCGUAGUCUAUACCAUAAACUAUGCCAACUAGGGAUGUGACGGGUACUCUUUUAUGGCUCGUUGCGCACCUUAUGAGAAAUCAAAGUUUUUGGGUUCCGGGGGGAGUAUUGUCGCAAGGCCGAAACUUAAAGGAAUUGACGGAAGGGCACCACAGGAGUGGAGCCUGCGGCUUAAUUUGACUCAACACGGGAAAAACUCACCAGGUCCAGACAUAGUGAGGAUUGACAGAUUGAUAGCUCUUUCUUGAUUCUAUGGGGUGGUG
Molecule: ribosomal RNA, 659 nt
Filed under: uncultured marine eukaryote
Lineage: Eukaryota
Description: SSU rRNA
Rfam family: Eukaryotic small subunit ribosomal RNA
Source: RNAcentral